GACGAACGCUGGCGGCGUGCUUAACACAUGCAAGUCGAACGCUGAAGCUCAGCUUUUGUUGGGUGGAUGAGUGGCGAACGGGUGAGUAACACGUGAGUAACCUGCCUCCUUCUUUGGGAUAACGCCCGGAAACGGGUGCUAAUACUGGAUAUUCACUGGUCUUCGCAUGGGGGUUGUUGGAAAGGGCUUUUCUGGUGGGGGAUGGGCUCGCGGCCUAUCCGCUUGUUGGUGGGGUGAUGGCCUACCAAGGCGUUGACGGGUAGCCGGCCUGAGAGGGUGACCGGUCACAUUGGGACGGAGAUGCGGCCCAGGCUCCGACGGGGGGCAGCAGUGGGGGAUAUUGGAGAAUGGGCGCAAGCCUGAUGCAGCGACGGCGCGUGAGGGAUGGAGGCCGUCGGGUUGUGAACCUCUUUCGCUCAUGGUCAAGCCGCAACAAUGGUUGUGGUGAGGGUAGUGGGUAAAGAAGCGCCGGCUAACUACGUG
Molecule: ribosomal RNA, 483 nt
Filed under: uncultured bacterium
Lineage: Bacteria
Description: partial 16S ribosomal RNA
Rfam family: Bacterial small subunit ribosomal RNA
Source: RNAcentral